GACGAACGCUGGCGGCGUGCUUAACACAUGCAAGUCGAACGGUGAACGAGGGAGCUUGCUCCCUCCGGAUCAGUGGCGAACGGGUGAGUAACACGUGAGCAAUCUGCCCCGAACUCUGGGAUAAGCGUUGGAAACGACGUCUAAUACCGGAUACGACGCGGGAGGGCAUCCUCUCCGCGUGGAAAGAACUUCGGUUCGGGAUGAGCUCGCGGCCUAUCAGCUUGUUGGUGAGGUAACGGCUCACCAAGGCGACGACGGGUAGCCGGCCUGAGAGGGUGACGGGCCAAAAGGGGACGGAGAAACGGCCCAGACCCCUAGGGGGGGGAGGGGGGGGGAAAAUGGCAAAAGGGGCGAAAGCCGGAGGCAGCACCGCCGGGGGGGGGACGAGGGCCUUCGGGUGGGAAACCCUUUUUAGAAGGAAAGAAGGGAAAGGGAGGGGACCGGCAAAAAAAGCACCGGCGAACUACGU
RNAcentral lists this ribosomal RNA (469 nucleotides) under uncultured bacterium. RNAcentral's name for it is "partial 16S ribosomal RNA". It matches the Rfam family "Bacterial small subunit ribosomal RNA", at positions 28 to 506 of the family's 1533-position model. The record is from RNAcentral.